GCACAUUGCUGUCAAAGAACAACUCUGCAACAACACAGACAUUGAGCUAUUAGCCAUUAGCAUCCGUGGAGGCAGCCUGUGACUCUCUGUGGUCCGCAGACUGCAAACGCAAUCUCCAAGAGCUCUUCUUCUAAUAUCAGGGGACUUUCAUCAUGUCUCGCUGGACUCCACACUGCCCACCUUCAACCAGUAUGUGACCUGCCCCAUCGUAGUCAAUAAAACAUUGUACUUAAUGUAUGCCAAUGAAAAAGUGGCAUACAGUUCAUCACCUCCCUGCCCAGGGAAGAUCUGAUCGUAACCUAGUGUGCCUUGUCCCUGUGUGCAGCACUUAGUGUGCACGGAGCCACUAAUCACCCACGCAGUGCAGAGAUGCUUCAUGGAGGGCAUAAUCAAGCAAAUAAAUGACAGAAUGCUUUUUAUUUCAUGUCGACGUGCAAUUUAUGUAUAGUUGACCGGGAAAUUAAAGCAGCGAUCACUUGGACUAUUCCGUAGCACCCCUUUCACAGUGGUACAUCCCUCCAGGUAACCAUUCACCAGUCUUGUACAGUAGAGCGGGACAUUACGUUUACUCUCAGCGGAAUUCACCCGAGAAGGCAUCAGUUCCUGCACUGCACUGGUCUUCACCACGAUUAGUAUAAGGUGGAGUAAUGCACGAAUGGAUAAAAAGGAGUGAGAGGUUAUCAGCUGUUGAGGAGCAAAUGGAGAUCCGUGUCCAGGGGAGUGAGGCUAUUGCGAGUGUGAAAGGUUGUCCAGGAAGUAACUAAGAAGACAUGAACAGAGAGGUGGUGAUCCUCGGUGGAGUGAUGAAGUAGAGCAGCCAGCACCCCAAGUAGAGCAGGCACUGUGGAAAAAUAGUU
Long non-coding RNA from Oreochromis aureus, 857 nucleotides. RefSeq lists it as uncharacterized. The record is from RefSeq and is a predicted model, not a curated record. The transcript has 3 exons. NCBI's taxonomy places the organism in Eukaryota, Metazoa, Chordata, Actinopteri, Cichliformes, Cichlidae.